Molecule: ribosomal RNA, 465 nt
Filed under: Vreelandella stevensii
Lineage: Bacteria; Pseudomonadati; Pseudomonadota; Gammaproteobacteria; Oceanospirillales; Halomonadaceae
Description: partial 16S ribosomal RNA
Rfam family: Bacterial small subunit ribosomal RNA
Source: RNAcentral
CCUACGGGCGGCAGCAGUGGGGAAUAUUGGACAAUGGGCGAAAGCCUGAUCCAGCCAUGCCGCGUGUGUGAAGAAGGCCUUCGGGUUGUAAAGCACUUUCAGUGGGGAAGAAAGCCUUGGGGCUAAUACCCUCGAGGAUGGACAUCACCCACAGAAGAAGCACCGGCUAACUCCGUGCCAGCAGCCGCGGUAAUACGGAGGGUGCGAGCGUUAAUCGGAAUUACUGGGCGUAAAGCGCGCGUAGGCGGUCUGAUAAGCCGGUUGUGAAAGCCCCGGGCUCAACCUGGGAACGGCAUCCGGAACUGUCAGGCUAGAGUGCAGGAGAGGAAGGUAGAAUUCCCGGUGUAGCGGUGAAAUGCGUAGAGAUCGGGAGGAAUACCAGUGGCGAAGGCGGCCUUCUGGACUGACACUGACGCUGAGGUGCGAAAGCGUGGGUAGCAAACAGGAUUAGAUACCCGGGUAGUC